UGAAAACCUUGAUUUGUGAACUGCUAAUUUUGGAUUGCUGUCUUCAAUCCAACAUCUUCAAGUCAGAAUCAUUGUUAAAAUGACACAAGGAAGAGGAAUAUCAUUUGCAGAAUAAUGCUUGUUAAGAAUUUGCAUUUGAAGAUCCUUCAUGGAACACAUUAAUUUGUAUGGCAUGGUUAACCCUUUUCUCAGUUCUGCAAUUGCUAAAGUAUUGUUUGUUGUCUGAAAGUCAUUCUUAUUACAAUCUUUUUUCUUUUGAAUAAUUGAAAAUUUUGAUAACAUGAUUCCAAUUUUUUAAAUUGUUAACAUGUGUAAUACUCUUACUUUCAUGCAUCUAAAAUCCCUUAUUUUUUGUGGUUUGCAGUAAUGGGGAAGAUUACAACUAAA
RNAcentral lists this unclassified non-coding RNA (387 nucleotides) under Hevea brasiliensis (rubber tree). Lineage: Eukaryota; Viridiplantae; Streptophyta; Magnoliopsida; Malpighiales; Euphorbiaceae. The record is from RNAcentral.